RNAcentral lists this ribosomal RNA (240 nucleotides) under uncultured bacterium. RNAcentral's name for it is "partial 16S ribosomal RNA". It matches the Rfam family "Bacterial small subunit ribosomal RNA", at positions 15 to 245 of the family's 1533-position model. The record is from RNAcentral.
GAUCAUGACUCAGGAUGAACGCUAGCUACAGGCUUAACACAUGCAAGUCGAGGGGCAGCAUUCCAGUUUGCUUGCAAACUGGAGAUGGCGACCGGCGCACGGGUGAGUAACACGUAUCCAACCUGCCGAUAACUCGGGGAUAGCCUUUCGAAAGAAAGAUUAAUACCCGAUGGCAUAAUAGAACCGCAUGGUUUGAUUAUUAAAGAAUUUCGGUUAUCGAUGGGGAUGCGUUCCAUUAAG